Molecule: long non-coding RNA, 1897 nt
Filed under: Rattus norvegicus (Norway rat)
Lineage: Eukaryota; Metazoa; Chordata; Mammalia; Rodentia; Muridae
Description: long non-coding RNA NONRATT019507
Source: RNAcentral
GAAACUAUUUAUGUCCUUAGGAAUUCAGCGUUUGCCAGGCACCAGCAACUUAAGAGCAGGCAUGGGAUUUUAUUUGCUAGUGAGUCAUAAUGAUAUGUUAGCGUUAAUUAGUUUUUUUCUUCCUUUGAUUUUAUUGGUCAUAAUUGUCAGUCUUCAUACACAGUAUAUCAAAGAGCUUUGUAAUUUAGCUGUCAAGUGUGCAAGAGUGACAUUACCCUAAAUGACACACAUUUGGGGCAAAUGCAGGGAUUGCAUUUAAUGCUUUCUACUGGAAGAUGCAGCCAUUUUCUUUGCUUUCUGUUUGGAGCACAUCGAAGACAUUCAUAAUUUAGUUGUCAAAAACAUGCACACGCUUAAGUAUUAUCUUAAAAACCCUUUUUGUUUUGUCAUUUGCAAACCAAUUGGUUCCUAAAGCACCGGUCCUUUCAUCCCCUUUAAUCUUUACAGAUGUCUGUGCACUAAUAAACAGCUAAGUUCCCACCGUCCUCCUGCUCCCCAGAGCAUGCUGGCACUGUUCGGUAGCCGUUUUCCCCACUCACUCUGUUAGUCAAUUGGCAGCACUGUAAAUACUGCCCAAUAUUAAAUUCCCCUUGCUAGGAUUGUAGGACAAUUUCAGAAGCAUUUGACUCAGGGCAUGAUUUAUAGCACAAUCUUCUCCCGACUCUCCUAAUCAGAUCAUAUUCUGAUAAACCUCAAGAACACCUGGCCACAGGAUUUCAAUAUGUAGAGUGUCCCCUGUGGCUGUUUGUUUCCCUCAGUGUGGAGACUGCAGUAUCCUCAACCCUGCUCUAGGGAUACUCUACUUUUAUUUUUGAGAAGGCCCAUUGCAAAUGCAGGCAUAUUCUUCAGGGAAAUUCACCCCAACGAAUGGGGGAUUUCCCCACUGCUCCCCCCAACCUCCCUCCCCGCCAGGGCUGGAGAAGUGCAAUACUUUUUUUUCUGUUCUGAAACCUGAAACCUGUUUCUAUAGGUCUUGCCAGCCUUCUGCACUGCACUGCAGGGACCAGUGACUGUGGCUGAUGAAAAUUGAUGAAUGGUGGGUGAGAGGUUAAGAAGUGUCUUGGGAUUAAUAAACAUGCACACAGAUGCCAGAGCAGCGGGGAAAGAUGUCUCUCAGGUGGAUAGGAAUUUAAUUUUGUCUCAAUGUGUUUUCACAUUGCAUGGAAAUAAAGAUUUUUUUGGGGGGUGGGGUGGGGUUGAAAAUAUGGGUUUCAUAUGAUUUCACACAGAUUUCGAAUUCUACACAGCUAAGAGGCAGGAUUGGAGGAAUAAGCCAGGGUCUUGCACAUACUAGGCAAAUGUAUAUUUGAGGAAUAUUCCCAGCUUUCUUUAAGCAAUUUUUGAGAUAAGGUCUCACUAUUUGCGCAGGUUGAUCUUGAAUUUGAGACUCUCCAAUGCCAGCCUUUGAGCAACUAGGAUGACAUAUGUGUGCCCACUUGACUAAUUUUGCAAGCAGUUCUUUGAUACACGUGUAUGCCUUUAGAUAUUGUAUGAUGGUUGUUCUAGUUUUCCUUUGUUAAGAUAUUUUAAGUCAAAGUUGAUACUUUGUAGCCAUUUAAAUUUUUUUUCUUUCUGUAACUAUCUAUGUAAGCAAAACCCAGAAUUAAUUAGUUCUGGGAGAUAAUUUGUGGGAUUGUGUUUCACUUUAUUAUUUUUUUUACAUAUAAUGAUACAUUUUGUUUAAUGGCUUCCAGGAGUCUACUUUUCCUGAGGAGAGGUUUAGAUACCAGGAUGCAUUGUACUAUUUGAUUUAAGGACCUGUAUUUCCAUGUUAAAUGUUUUCAAAUGGAAGAACAUGAGUUCGAAACUUCUUUUCAUAUUUGACUCUUUAGCAUUAUGAUUAUUUUCAUGAUUUUUGUGUUUAAGUAUUUGGAAUAAAAGUUUAAGGUCUGAAAAU